GCUUAGAGAGGGGUCAAUGUCCUAUCAGCUAGUUGGUAGGGUAAUGGCCUACCAAGGCUAAGACGGGUAGCCGGCCUGAGAGGGUGGUCGGCCACACUGGGACUGAGACACUGCCCAGACUCCUACGGGAGGCUGCAGUCGAGAAUCUUUCGCAAUGCCCGAAAGGGUGACGAAGCGACGCCGCGUGUGGGAAGAAGGCCUUCGGGUUGUAAACCACUGUCGGGAGUUAAGAAAUGUAAGGGUGUUAAUAGCAUCCUUACUUGACUAAGGCUCCGGAGGAAGCCACGGCUAACUCUGUGCCAGCAGCCGCGGUAAUACAGAGGCGGCAAGCGUUGUUCGGAAUUAUUGGGCGUAAAGAGCACGUAGGCGGCUUUGUAAGUCAGUUGUGAAAGCCUUCCGCUUAACGGAAGAACAGCAUCUGAUACUGCAAGGCUAGAGUGCGGA
This 444-nucleotide ribosomal RNA is filed under the name uncultured Planctomycetota bacterium. RNAcentral's name for it is "bacterial SSU rRNA". It matches the Rfam family "Bacterial small subunit ribosomal RNA", at positions 217 to 652 of the family's 1533-position model. The record is from RNAcentral. Lineage: Bacteria; Pseudomonadati; Planctomycetota.